Molecule: ribosomal RNA, 133 nt
Filed under: uncultured bacterium
Lineage: Bacteria
Description: partial 16S ribosomal RNA
Rfam family: Bacterial small subunit ribosomal RNA
Source: RNAcentral
GGGGAAUAUUGCACAAUGGGGGAAACCCUGAUGCAGCGACGCCGCGUGAGUGAAAGAAGUAUUUCGGUAUGUAAAGCUCUAUCAGCAGGGAAGAAAAUGACGGUACCUUGACCAAGAAGCCCCGGCUAACUAC